AGACCCGAAACCCGGUGAUCUAGCCAUGGGCAGGUUGAAGGUUGGGUAACACUAACUGGAGGACCGAACCGACUAAUGUUGAAAAAUUAGCGGAUGACCUGUGGCUGGGGGUGAAAGGCCAAUCAAACCGGGAGAUAGCUGGUUCUCCCCGAAAGCUAUUUAGGUAGCGCCUCGUGAAUUCAUCUCCGGGGGUAGAGCACUGUUUCGGCUAGGGGGCCAUCCCGGCUUACCAACCCGAUGCAAACUGCGAAUACCGGAGAAUGUUAUCACGGGAGACACACGGCGGGUGCUAACGUCCGUCGUGAAGAGGGAAACAACCCAGACCGCCAGCUAAGGUCCCAAAGUCAUGGUUAAGUGGGAAACGAUGUGGGAAGGCCCAGACAGCCAGGAUGUUGGCUUAGAAGCAGCCAUCAUUUAAAGAAAGCGUAAUAGCUCACUGGUCGAGUCGGCCUGCGCGGAAGAUGUAACGGGGCUAAACCAUGCACCGAAGCUGCGGCAGCGAACGUAUCACCCAAGACAACUUUACGGAGUUGACGAUUGACGGAGCGAAGCGACGUCAAAGCGUUCAUUAAAGUCGAGUUGGCUUAGGGAUACGUUCGUUGGGUAGGGGAGCGUUCUGUAAGCCUGUGAAGGUGUGUCGUGAGGCAUGCUGGAGGUAUCAGAAGUGCGAAUGCUGACAUAAGUAACGAUAAAGCGGGUGAAAAGCCCGCUCGCCGGAAGACCAAGGGUUCCUGUCCAACGUUAAUCGGGGCAGGGUGAGUCGACCCCUAAGGCGAGGCCGAAAGGCGUAGUCGAUGGGAAACGGGUUAAUAUUCCCGUACUUGGUGUUACUGCGAAGGGGGGACGGAGAAGGCUAUGUUGGCCGGGCGACGGUUGUCCCGGUUUAAGCGUGUAGGUGUGUGUUCCAGGUAAAUCCGGUUCACUUUAACACUGAGGCGUGACGACGAGGCACUACGGUGCUGAAGCAACAAAUGCCCUGCUUCCAGGAA
Molecule: ribosomal RNA, 989 nt
Filed under: Salmonella enterica
Lineage: Bacteria; Pseudomonadati; Pseudomonadota; Gammaproteobacteria; Enterobacterales; Enterobacteriaceae
Also listed under: 2 other names
Description: partial 23S ribosomal RNA
Rfam family: Bacterial large subunit ribosomal RNA
Source: RNAcentral